Long non-coding RNA from Coccinella septempunctata (seven-spotted ladybird), 783 nucleotides. RefSeq lists it as uncharacterized. NCBI's taxonomy places the organism in Eukaryota, Metazoa, Arthropoda, Insecta, Coleoptera, Coccinellidae. The transcript is spliced from 2 exons. The record is from RefSeq and is a predicted model, not a curated record.
CUCAAUUGAUGAGUUCUGUUAACACAGAACUAUAGAACAAGAGAAAAAUAGUACGGCCGUCCACCGAGCAUUGUAACGAUCAAUAAUAUUUACAAGGAGAGUGUUGAUUAUGAAGGAUUUUUACGGGAAAUUCGAAAACCGAUAAAUAAAUAUUCCACGAAGAACGAUAAAAUUUUAAGUUCAGUUACGAAACGAUUAACGAUAUCACACACCAUUACUCAUAUUUGCUUUAGGCACACUAAUUCGAGCAAUCAUUAUUAGUGAUAAUUAUUGCAAGUGGUUAUCAAACAUAGUGCACAAGUUAAGAGUCCCACCAUGAAACUUCAUACCUGGCUGGUCGUGCUUUAUGUGAUAAUGUUUGUAUCUUUGAUAUCCGCUGGCAGAAAAACUAUCAUGCGACGACCUAGAAUAAGGAAUUAUUUUGUUGUCAGGAAAAAUUUAUCAUGGGGAGUUCCUGGGGGUCCUAUAGUGAAUGAUUUCGUACGGAAACAUUCCUGCCCGAAAGGUUCAGUUUAUAUAGCUGGUCUUUGCCGAACAGUUGUCUCGAAUUGGAACUGAAGAGAUGAUAUACCUACUUUCAAAAGAAUAUAAUUAUACUCUCCAAAAUUGGAACUUCACUGAUGUCAGUGUAGCAAAAAUUGAAUCAACAAAUUACAAUUCGAAGAAAGAAUGGAAACAUGAAUAAGUGAUCAUUCACUUGAUGACAGUCAACAGGCCGACAAUCUCUACAAUAAUACCAGUUAAAACAGAAUGUAUACUUAUCAAAUAUUUGCUUGUAGACAU